UACGAAGGGGGCUAGCGUUGUUCGGAAUUACUGGGCGUAAAGCGCACGUAGGCGGAUCGAUCAGUCAGGGGUGAAAUCCCAGGGCUCAACCCUGGAACUGCCUUUGAUACUGUCGAUCUGGAGUAUGGAAGAGGUGAGUGGAAUUCCGAGUGUAGAGGUGAAAUUCGUAGAUAUUCGCAAGAACACCAGUGGCGAAGGCGGCUCACUGGACCGGCAUUGACGCUGAGGUGCGAAAGCGUGGGGAGCAAACAGG
Molecule: ribosomal RNA, 253 nt
Filed under: uncultured bacterium
Lineage: Bacteria
Description: partial 16S ribosomal RNA
Rfam family: Bacterial small subunit ribosomal RNA
Source: RNAcentral